Molecule: ribosomal RNA, 1368 nt
Filed under: Triticum aestivum (bread wheat)
Lineage: Eukaryota; Viridiplantae; Streptophyta; Magnoliopsida; Poales; Poaceae
Description: partial small subunit ribosomal RNA
Source: RNAcentral
AUGCUGGUCGUCGGCGAGCAAGAGGCUGACCAAGCCCCCAAAUCCACGGCCUCGCCGUUGCCGCCGGAUCAGACGAGGAUGCCACCGGGCGCGACUGGGGUUGGUUGGGAUGAGCACGCGAUGAAGAGAUUCUGGCGGCCGGCGGCGGCUAGGGCACAGGAGACAUGGCAGGUGGGGGUGGCUCACGAGCGGGUGGUCUCUGCCUCCGUCUCUCUCUCUAGAACGAACGAGGUUGCCUGUAAAAAAAUUGCGUCGCUGGAGGGGGGGCUCGAGCAUGUUAAAGCCCCCCCAGUAGAUUCGCCGUUGGUGCUUAGAGAUGAACGUGGUGCAAUUAUAUACUCCUCCUGCCAUGAGUUACAACACUGUGCAACGCCGUUGCAACCUGAAUUAGCAGCUUGUGUGGAAGGCGUCUCCUUAGCCAUCCAGUGGUCAUCUUUGCCAAUCGUUAUCCAAUCAGAUUGCUCAGAGCUUAUUAAGAUGACCACUGAUCAGGGAGACAACGGAUCAACAUAUAUGAUGAUGGUCCAGGAGAUUAAAUCGUUACUUCAUCAGGAUAAUAGGGAGUUCAUAUUCAAGCAUGUUAGGCGGGAACAAAAUGUUGUUAGCCACUUUUUAGCAAACUAUGGUAGAAUACAGAAGCGCACUGCAGUGUGGCUUCGGUUAGGACCGGACAAGUUUAUCCACCUCAUCACAUAUGCCACCCCAGCAGUUCAAUGUUCCACUAGUGAUUUUUUUCAAACGCCUUUUUGGCUCUACCUCCAGUGCUAUAUAAAUAUGUCAUGGGUACAAAUCCAUGCUUCAGCCCUUUUUGUGUAUGACACUACUGGAAAAUUGGUCAUUUCCGAGUGUCGCCUCUUUCCCGAGAGCCAAACUGCAGGAGUUUGGAAAAAACAAUAUAACGCCCCCAUUCAGUCUGUUUCUUUUCGCGACGUAGUUGCUCCUAGCUCGUCUUCGAACGCGCCACUGCCGGGCCGGUCCCGUACUGCGUCUGUUGAUCUAGAACCAGACGACGACGGUUGGAUUCAAGUGAGGAAUCGUCGUCACCAGCGCCGUUAUGUGGCCGCAUCCCCGGUCGUGAGGCGGCCAGCUGGUCCCAAACCUCGGAUUCCUCGGUGGUUGUUUGGUAGGUGUUUUAAGUGCCUGGAGUCGGGCCACCUCAAAUCUAAAUGCUCCGGUGAGAUAAGAUGCCACAGCUGUUGGCUCACGGGCCACAUAGCUAGAAGCUGCCACUCCUCUCCAGAUUCGUCACACCCUCCACCCCUGCAGCCCAGAUCUGAGCCCGACCCCUCUGCUCGCUCCUCCGCCGACUGGUCUAAGCAGGAGAGCUCCCCCCGUCGCCCGCCGCCGCCUUGUGACAUGGCCAACUAA